CCUCUCAUGGCGUAGUGGUAACGCGCCCCAACUAGAGAUCGGGGAGUCGUGACUUCGAUUCUCACUGAGAAGA
RNAcentral lists this transfer RNA (73 nucleotides) under Aedes aegypti (yellow fever mosquito). It matches the Rfam family "tRNA". Rfam says of the family: Transfer RNA (tRNA) molecules are approximately 80 nucleotides in length. Their secondary structure includes four short double-helical elements and three loops (D, anti-codon, and T loops). The record is from Rfam by way of RNAcentral. Lineage: Eukaryota; Metazoa; Arthropoda; Insecta; Diptera; Culicidae.